CCAAUAGCGUAUAUUAAAGUUGUUGCGGUUAAAAAGCUCGUAGUUGGAUUUCUGUCAAGGACAACUGGUCCGCCCUCCGGGUGAGUACAGAGUUUGGUCUUGGCAUCUUGUUGGGGAUUGCUACUGCGCUUGGUUGUGUGGUACAUUUUCCAGCACAUUCACUUUGAGGAAAUUGGAGUGUUUCAAGCAGGCACAUGCCUUUGGACACAGUAGCAUGGAAUAAUUGGAUUGGGCUUCUGCUCCAACUUGCUGGUUCCUGGAGCUGAAGUGAGAAUCAAUGGGGAUUGUUGGGGGCAUCUGAAUUUAGCCGUCAGAGGUGAAAUUCUUGGAUCUGCUAAAGACGGACAAGUGCGAAAGCGUUCGCCCAGGAUGUUUUCAUUGA
Molecule: ribosomal RNA, 382 nt
Filed under: uncultured eukaryote
Lineage: Eukaryota
Description: partial 18S ribosomal RNA
Rfam family: Eukaryotic small subunit ribosomal RNA
Source: RNAcentral